RNAcentral lists this ribosomal RNA (497 nucleotides) under uncultured bacterium. Its description in RNAcentral is "partial 16S ribosomal RNA". It matches the Rfam family "Bacterial small subunit ribosomal RNA", at positions 28 to 507 of the family's 1533-position model. The record is from RNAcentral.
GAUGAACGCUGGCGGCGUGCCUAAUACAUGCAAGUCGAGCGAACAGACGAGUAGCUUGCUCCUUUUACGUUAGCGGCGGACGGGUGAGUAACACGUAUGUAACCUACCUAUAAGACUUGGAUAACUUCGGGAAACCUGAUCUAAUACCGGAUAAUAUUUCGAACCGCAUGGUUCUAUAGUGAAAGACGGCUUUUCUAUCUCUUAUAGAUGUACCUGCGCCGUAUUAUCUAGUUGUUAAGGUAACGGCUUACCAAGGCAACGAUACGUAGACGACAUGAGAGGGAGAUCGGCAACACUGGAAAUGAGACACGGUACAGAAUACUACGGGAGGCAGCAGUAGGGAAUAUUCCGCAAUGGGCGAAAGCAUGACGGAGCAACGCCGAGUGAGUGAUGAAGGUCUUCGGAUCGUAAAAAACUGUUAUUAGGGAAGAACAAAAGUGUAAGUAACUGUGAACGUAUUGACGGUACCUAAUCAGAAAGCAACGGCUAACUACGUG